This 256-nucleotide long non-coding RNA is filed under the name Gossypium barbadense (sea-island cotton). Its description in RNAcentral is "long non-coding RNA (GBAR_LNC015004)". The record is from RNAcentral. Lineage: Eukaryota; Viridiplantae; Streptophyta; Magnoliopsida; Malvales; Malvaceae.
UAUAACGUAGUGAGGGGAUUGCCAAAGCUAAAGGAGUCAUUUUAAAAAUAUGUAAAGAUUGCAUGAAGUUUAAGCAAUAAUCUAAUCCAAAUCCCCAAUUGCAAUUGAUACAAACAUUUGGACCCAUAGAACUCUUGCAUAUAAAUUUAAUUGGAGUUAUGAACACUGAGAGUUUAGGUGGUAAGAAAAACAUCUUUGUUUGUAUGUGUUGAUGAUUGCUCAAGGUAUGCUUGGGAAUGAAAAUUAUGAGCGAUGA